GGUUGCAAGCUCGGGGUCAUAGCAGAAGCACUCACAGCACAGCCCUGUCAAAUUCCAACGAAUCUGCAAAUUCUGCU
This 77-nucleotide ribozyme is filed under the name Crocodylus porosus (Australian saltwater crocodile). RNAcentral describes it as "Mammalian CPEB3 ribozyme (ENSCPRG00005003528.1)". It matches the Rfam family "Mammalian CPEB3 ribozyme". From Rfam's summary of the family: The mammalian CPEB3 ribozyme is a self cleaving RNA located in the second intron of the CPEB3 gene which belongs to a family of genes regulating messenger RNA polyadenylation. The record is from Rfam by way of RNAcentral. Lineage: Eukaryota; Metazoa; Chordata; Crocodylia; Crocodylidae.